This 464-nucleotide ribosomal RNA is filed under the name Vreelandella stevensii. RNAcentral's name for it is "partial 16S ribosomal RNA". It matches the Rfam family "Bacterial small subunit ribosomal RNA", at positions 338 to 794 of the family's 1533-position model. Lineage: Bacteria; Pseudomonadati; Pseudomonadota; Gammaproteobacteria; Oceanospirillales; Halomonadaceae. The record is from RNAcentral.
CCUACGGUGGUCUGCAGUGGGGAAUAUUGGACAAUGGGCGAAAGCCUGAUCCAGCCAUGCCGCGUGUGUGAAGAAGGCCUUCGGGUUGUAAAGCACUUUCAGUGGGGAAGAAAGCCUUGGGGCUAAUACCCUCGAGGAAGGACAUCACCCACAGAAGAAGCACCGGCUAACUCCGUGCCAGCAGCCGCGGUAAUACGGAGGGUGCGAGCGUUAAUCGGAAUUACUGGGCAUAAAGCGCGCGUAGGCGGUCUGAUAAGCCGGUUGUGAAAGCCCCGGGCUCAACCUGGGAACGGCAUCCGGAACUGUCAGGCUAGAGUGCAGGAGAGGAAGGUAGAAUUCCCGGUGUAGCGGUGAAAUGCGUAGAGAUCGGGAGGAAUACCAGUGGCGAAGGCGGCCUUCUGGACUGACACUGACGCUGAGGUGCGAAAGCGUGGGUAGCAAACAGGAUUAGAUACCCCUGUAGU